This 331-nucleotide unclassified non-coding RNA is filed under the name soil metagenome. RNAcentral describes it as "partial contains 5.8S ribosomal RNA, internal transcribed spacer 2, and large subunit ribosomal RNA". The stretch from base 1 to 120 matches the Rfam family "5.8S ribosomal RNA", at positions 35 to 154 of the family's 154-position model. The record is from RNAcentral.
GAUGAAGAACGUAGCGAAAUGCGAUAAGUAAUGUGAAUUGCAGAAUUCAGUGAAUCAUCGAAUCUUUGAACGCACAUUGCGCCCCCUGGUAUUCCGGGGGGCAUGCCUGUUCGAGCGUCAUUUCACCACUCAAGCCUCGCUUGGUAUUGGGCAACGCGGUCCGCCGCGUGCCUCAAAUCGACCGGCUGGGUCUUCUGUCCCCUAAGCGUUGUGGAAACUAUUCGCUAAAGGGUGUUCGGGAGGCUACGCCGUAAAACAACCCCAUUUCUAAGGUUGACCUCGUAUCAGGUAGGGAUACCCGCUGAACUUAAGCAUAUCAAUAAGCGGAGGA